AUACUUGAAAAGGUUGAAAACCAGCAUUGUAAUUAGUUUGUCAGUUCGAAACACCGGACUUUCGACUUCACAUUUACUUGGCGCAGUCCUAUUUACCCCAGGUAGGACUUCCUAUUCUGACCACCACGGAAACAGCUUCUAAAAUGAGAGCAGCCCCCACCCCUCACGCCAUCGCUAACCCGAACACGAAUGGGUGGGCCCACCGAGGUCAUGCGGUAGCUCGGGAAAGGCAAGCUCAGACUUGCUGCACUCAGUGCAGGCUUGGGGACGGUUCUCCCUGAAACGUCUCUGGAAUUUAACUUCCCGGCGAAGGAGGAGGUGGUGGGGAAAAGGGGGAAAAUGCGCCAGUGUUUUUCCUCAGCCCCUGCCCCUGCCGGUCACUUCCAGCUCACAGCCAAGAAGCCAGGCGUGCCGCAGGACGGUCAGUGCGGCCUCCCGGGCAGGGGUGAGGCGGCGGGGGCCUCAAGGCACAGAGCUGUUUCAUGGCGGCCCACUUGCCCCCCUCCCUCCCGCCUUUGUUCUAGGCUGAGCCUUGGCCUUACUGCUGAGCGACAGAGACACCGGAACAUCCGGUGAGCCGAGAGCUGACGAAGGGCGAGAGGAACGUCAACGCAUCACGCGCACUUGUGAGACCCCCCCCCCCCCCAAAUAUAAGUGAAACCUGGCUCGUUCUUCUCGUGGAAUGUCAGUGCCCUUUGACAGAGGUUUUUCACACUUUCCCAGGAAAGUAAACUGAAAGCCUCUCUGUUUGGGAUCCACGCCCCAAAGGGACAACUUCACACGGGGUGGUGCUGUUUGCUCGGCUGUGAGAGACACACGAAUGCAGGGAAGAUUCUGAGGCCCACUGAGAGCUGUUAUUUUGUGAAACUAUUAACCAGGGGAAAACGCUGGGUGUGUGUGUGGGGGGGUGGUGUGGGUGUUAUAACAACACUCAAGAUGAGUUCUGCCUUCUUGACAAAUCUUUAAGUGUAUAAUAUGGUACUAAUUACAGGCAGGAUGAUGUACAGAUCUCCAGAACUCACUUGGCUGACUGGAACUCUGCACACCGAACAGCGACUCCCUGUGCCCAUCCCCUCCCCCCCCCCCCCCCCCCCGGCCCCUGGCAACCACCGUUCUAUUCCAGCUUCUAUGAGGUGGAGUAUUCUAGAUGCCUCAAGUAAGUGGAAUCAUGCAGCAUCUGUAUGGAGGGUCUAGUAGGGAACAUAACAUGUAGUUCGUACCAUGUCUGUGUACUUUAAAUACCUCAUGACAGAUGAAGGCCAACAAGGCACUACAGCUCCUUCUAGAAGCCCUGCUGUUUCUCUACACACUUGGACCUUAUCUGAUACCUAUUCCUUCUAGAUGUGACACAGACCAGGAAGAAACAGGCCCCCGCCAGCAUCGACAGGAACAGAAAGAGUCCCACAGCAAUCACGAUGAUUUGCUGGAGUUUUGUGGCGGCUGAAAAGAUGACGCGGAAGUAAACAAGAGGCCCGUCCCACUCGUGGUACAAACGUCGGUAAUUUCUCACCUGCCAACCGCUUAGAGAGAGGUCGUUUCCUGGUAAAACUGGGCCGACGCUGCCCCUCCCUCCCCCGCCCAGCCUCACAUGCUUAGAUGACUAGCCAGGAAAGGCAAUCCUAAAAUAAAGCAGCGUUAGCUGUCUGGUGCUGUUAUUAUGGUAGAUCUCAGCAUGAA
Acinonyx jubatus (cheetah) is the source of this 1677-nucleotide long non-coding RNA. RefSeq lists it as uncharacterized. The record is from RefSeq and is a predicted model, not a curated record. The transcript is spliced from 2 exons. Lineage: Eukaryota; Metazoa; Chordata; Mammalia; Carnivora; Felidae.